Molecule: ribosomal RNA, 253 nt
Filed under: uncultured bacterium
Lineage: Bacteria
Description: partial 16S ribosomal RNA
Rfam family: Bacterial small subunit ribosomal RNA
Source: RNAcentral
UACGGAGGGUGCAAACGUUGCUCGGAAUUAUUGGGCGUAAAGCGCACGUAGGCGGCCGAUUAAGUCGGGUGUGAAAGCCCAGGGCUCAACCCUGGAAGUGCACUCGAAACUGGUCGGCUUGAAUAUGGAAGAGGGUCGCGGAAUUCCCGGUGUAGAGGUGAAAUUCGUAGAUAUCGGGAGGAACACCAGUGGCGAAGGCGGCGACCUGGGCCAAUAUUGACGCUGAGGUGCGAAAGCGUGGGGAGCAAACAGG